GAUGAACGCUGGCGGCGUGCCUAAUACAUGCAAGUCGAGCGAACGGACGAGAAGCUUGCUUCUCUGAUGUUAGCGGCGGACGGGUGAGUAACACGUGGAUAACCUACCUAUAAGACUGGGAUAACUUCGGGAAACCGUAGCUAAUACCGGAUAAUAUUUUGAACCGCAUGGUUCAAAAGUGAAAGACGGUCUUGCUGUCACUUAUAGAUGGAUCCGCGCUGCAUUAGCUAGUUGGUAAGGUAACGGCUUACCAAGGCAACGAUGCAUAGCCGACCUGAGAGGGUGAUCGGCCACACUGGAACUGAGACACGGUCCAGACUCCUACGGGAGGCAGCAGUAGGGAAUCUUCCGCAAAGGGCGAAAGCCUGACGGAGCAACGCCGCGUGAGUGAUGAAGGUCUUCGGAUCGUAAAACUCUGUUAUUAGGGAAGAACAUAUGUGUAUGUAACUGUGCACAUCUUGACGGUACCUAAUCAGAAAGCCACGGCUAACUACGUG
This 497-nucleotide ribosomal RNA is filed under the name uncultured bacterium. RNAcentral's name for it is "partial 16S ribosomal RNA". It matches the Rfam family "Bacterial small subunit ribosomal RNA", at positions 28 to 507 of the family's 1533-position model. The record is from RNAcentral.